AACGAACGCUAGCGGUGUGGAUUAGGCAUGCAAGUCGCGCGCGAAAGCCUUCGGGCGAGUAAAGCGGCGAAAGGGUGAGUAACACGUAACCAACGUACCCCUCAGACUGGGACGAACCACUGGAAACGGUGGAUAAUACCGGAUGGUCCACUGGGCAGCAUUGCCUGGCUGGUAAACGGCGGCCGCAAGGCGGUUGCUGAGGGAGCGGGUUGCGGCCUAUCAGCUUGUUGGUGAGGUAACGGCUCACCAAGGCUAUGACGGGUAACAGGUCUGAGAGGAUGAUCUGUCACACUGGGACUGAGACACUGCCCAGACUCCUACGGGAGGCUGCAGUCGAGAAUCUUCCACAAUGGGCGAAAGCCUGAUGGAGCGACACCGCGUGCAGGAUGAAGGCC
RNAcentral lists this ribosomal RNA (395 nucleotides) under uncultured bacterium. Its description in RNAcentral is "bacterial SSU rRNA". It matches the Rfam family "Bacterial small subunit ribosomal RNA", at positions 29 to 416 of the family's 1533-position model. The record is from RNAcentral.